CCCCUUAUUCCUACGGGAGGCAGCAGUGGGGAAUAUUGCACAAUGGGCGAAAGCCUGAUGCAGCGACGCCGCGUGAGGGAUGACGGCCUUCGGGUUGUAAACCUCUUUCAGUAGGGAAGAAGCCCUCUUUGGGGGUGACGGUACUUGCAGAAGAAGCGCCGGCUAACUACGUGCCAGCAGCCGCGGUAAUACGUAGGGCGCAAGCGUUAUCCGGAAUUAUUGGGCGUAAAGAGCUCGUAGGCGGUUUGUCGCGUCUGCUGUGAAAGACCGGGGCUCAACUCCGGUUCUGCAGUGGGUACGGGCAGACUAGAGUGCAGUAGGGGAGACUGGAAUUCCUGGUGUAGCGGUGAAAUGCGCAGAUAUCAGGAGGAACACCGAUGGCGAAGGCAGGUCUCUGGGCUGUAACUGACGCUGAGGAGCGAAAGCAUGGGGAGCGAACAGGAUUAGAUACCCUGGUAGUCCAUGCCGUAAACGUUGGGCACUAGGUGUGGGGGACAUUCCACGUUUUCCGCGCCGUAGCUAACGCAUUAAGUGCCCCGCCUGGGGAGUACGGCCGCAAGGCUAAAACUCAAAGGAAUUGACGGGGGCCCGCACAAGCGGCGGAGCAUGCGGAUUAAUUCGAUGCAACGCGAAGAACCUUACCAAGGCUUGACAUGGACCGGAAAGACCUGAAACCACGUGCCCCC
RNAcentral lists this ribosomal RNA (686 nucleotides) under Arthrobacter sp. RNAcentral describes it as "bacterial SSU rRNA". It matches the Rfam family "Bacterial small subunit ribosomal RNA", at positions 329 to 1017 of the family's 1533-position model. The record is from RNAcentral. Lineage: Bacteria; Bacillati; Actinomycetota; Actinomycetes; Micrococcales; Micrococcaceae.